RNAcentral lists this ribosomal RNA (402 nucleotides) under uncultured bacterium. Its description in RNAcentral is "bacterial SSU rRNA". It matches the Rfam family "Bacterial small subunit ribosomal RNA", at positions 355 to 774 of the family's 1533-position model. The record is from RNAcentral.
UGGGGAAUCUUGCACCAUGGGGGCAACCCUGAUGCAGCGACGCCGCGUGAGCGAUGAAGCCCUUCGGGACGUAAAGCUCUUUCGACCGGAACGAUAAUGACGGUACCGGGAGAAGAAGCUGCGGCUAACUACGUGCCAGCAGCCGCGGCAAUACGUAGGCAGCAAGCGUUGUUCGGAGUUACUGGGCGUAAAGAGUGCGUAGGCGGUUUUCUAAGUUCGGUGUGAAAUCUCCCGGCUUAACUGGGAGGGUGCGCGGAAGACUGGGAAGCUGUAGUGUGGGAAAGGCAGGCGGAAUUCCUAGUGGUGCGGUGAAAUGCGUAGAUAUCAGGAGGAACACCGGCGGUGUAGACGGCUUGCUAGACCAUAACUGACGCUGAGGCACGAAAGCGUGGGUAGCAAACA